This 265-nucleotide unclassified non-coding RNA is filed under the name Hevea brasiliensis (rubber tree). The record is from RNAcentral. Lineage: Eukaryota; Viridiplantae; Streptophyta; Magnoliopsida; Malpighiales; Euphorbiaceae.
GCUAGAUUUGGUCGCAAAAGGCCAUGCUGUGGAAGAUAUUCCUGGUGUUGGGUUCAAGGUUGUGAAGAUGUUUGGUGUGUCACUUUUGGCUCUCUUCCAAGAGAAGAAAGAGAAGUCCAGAUCUUAAAUAUCACUUUCUGGUCAAAUGCAAGUGUGUUCGGAAUUAAUUUUUGUUAGGAUACAAAAUAUCAUUUUUUUUUCUUUUUCCCUAAUUUCCAACUAGUAUACUUUGUCCAUGAAUAUAUCCAGGACAUUUGUUUCACCU